AAUAUCGUAAAUAUGAACAUGAUACAUUGCAUAACAACGAAAGUUACUGUAGCAGUGAUGUAUCAGAUCAGUGAUAACACUAACAAAGAUAAAUUUAAUGUAUCAGAAAGUUAAAACGAAGGCAUUAUACAUAAAUUUAUGAAUCAAAAUCAAGUAGAUACAUAAAAAGUCUGAAUCUUGGGUAGAGAAGGGUGUUGAAACUAAGGCAUUAUAUAUUAAAUUAUGAAUCAAAAUAAAUUAGAUACAUUGAAAUAUGAAGCUUGGGUAGAGAAGAGUGUUUAGUAACCUAUUCUACUUCCCCCUUUUUUUUUGGAAUCUUUCUCAAUGGCUAAUUUAGAACUUGGAAUACAUCUUUCAUCGAUUUCGAAUCACAAACAUGAGGGAUGAGAUCUUCCUUUUGUAAACUUAAUUGGGUAAGCCCACUAUUAAACGAUGGAUCAAAAUCCAUAUGUAACUUUCCAUCGCCGUAUGAUAAACAACCGAUUCAUCUCUUCUCUUCUGUUCCUUUUGCUUCGUAUUAUUUGAUAAUUCUUUCUGAAGAUCGCCUAUACAUAUCUCAUCCAUAUAUAUAAGAAGUUUAUAGAUGAAAAAGCUAAAAAGAAUUUUAAAAAUCGAUAAUUGAUUAAUUAGAAAGAAAAAAGUGGACGAAGAAGAAGAUUGGAGAAUUGGAAAAGAAAAAAUAAAAGAUUUGAAAUAUGAAGAAGAAGAUUGGUGAGUUGGAAAAGAAAAAAGAAAGAUUUGAAAUUUAAAAAUGGAGUGAUGGAGAUAAUUGGUGAUACCAUGGAGUGAUUUUAGGCGUGAAAAAAGGGGAAAAAAUCGUGAGGGUGAUUGUUUAGAGCGAUGUAUCUGAAAAAGUGAA
Molecule: long non-coding RNA, 859 nt
Filed under: Solanum tuberosum (potato)
Lineage: Eukaryota; Viridiplantae; Streptophyta; Magnoliopsida; Solanales; Solanaceae
Description: long non-coding RNA (STUB_LNC005474)
Source: RNAcentral